CUACGGGGUGCUCCAGUGGGGAAUAUUGGACAAUGGGCGCAAGCCUGAUCCAGCAAUGCCGCGUGUGUGAAGAAGGCCUGCGGGUUGUAAAGCACUUUCAGUUGGGAGGAAGGCUUUGGUGCUAAUAGUACCAAGGAUUGACGUUACCAACAGAAGAAGCACCGGCUAACUCUGUGCCAGCAGCCGCGGUAAUACAGAGGGUGCGAGCGUUAAUCGGAAUUACUGGGCGUAAAGGGCGCGUAGGUGGUUAAUUAAGUCAGAUGUGAAAUCCCUGGGCUUAACCUAGGAAUUGCAUAUGAUACUGAUUAGCUAGAGAGCAGAAGAGGGAAGUGGAAUUUCCGGUGUAGCGGUGAAAUGCGUAGAUAUCGGAAGGAACAUCAGUGGCGAAGGCGACUUCCUGGUCUGUUACUGACACUGAGGCGCGACAGCGUGGGGAGCGAACAGGAUUAGAUACCCCUGUAGUC
Molecule: ribosomal RNA, 464 nt
Filed under: uncultured bacterium
Lineage: Bacteria
Description: partial 16S ribosomal RNA
Rfam family: Bacterial small subunit ribosomal RNA
Source: RNAcentral